GGUUGGGGAUAGCCCAUGGAAACAUGGGGUAAUACCGGAUACGCUCAUUUGGCUAUGGCCGGAUGAGGAAAGGCGCUUCGGCGUCGCCCUGCGAUGAGCCUGCGCCCCAUUAGCUAGUUGGUAGGGUAAAGGCCUACCAAGGCAACGAUGGGUAGCCGGCCUGAGAGGGUGAUCGGCCACACUGGGACUGAGAUACGGCCCAGACUCCUACGGGAGGCAGCAGCUAAGAAUCUUCCGCAAUGGACGAAAGUCUGACGGAGCGACGCCGCGUGGGUGAAGAAGGCCGGAAGGUUGUAAAGCCCUUUUCUCGUUGAGGAAUAAGCACAGGAGGGAAUGCCUGUGUGAUGACGGUAGGCGAGGAAUAAGUCCCGGCCAAUUACGUGCCAGCAGCCGCGGUAACACGUAUGGGACGAGCGUUGUUCGGAAUCAUUGGGCGUAAAGGGCGCGUAGGCGGCGAGGUAAGCCUGGUGUGAAAGACCGCAGCUUAACUGCGGAACCGCGCUAGGAACUGCUUUGCUUGAGUUCAGGAGGGGGAGCUGGAAUUCCAGGUGUAGGGGUGAAAUCUGUAGAUAUCUGGAAGAACACCGGCGGCGAAGGCGAGCUCCUGGCCAUGAACUGACGCUUGAGGCGCGAAAGCGUGGGGAGCGAACAGGAUUAGAUACCCUGGUAGUCCACGCUGUAAACGAUGUGCACUAGGUGUUGGGCCACGAAGGUUCAGUGCCGGAGUCAACGCGUUAAGUGCACCGCCUGGGGAGUAUGCUCGCAAGGGUGAAACUCAAAGGAAUUGACGGGGGCCCGCACAAGCGGUGGAGCAUGUGGUUUAAUUCGAUGAUACGCGAGGAACCUUACCAGGGUUUGACAUAUGCCGGAAUGUGCAGGAGACUGCGCAGCCCUUCGGGGCCGGUAUACAGGUGCUGCAUGGCCGUCGUCAGCUCGUGCCGUGAGGUGUUGGGUUAAGUCCCGCAACGAGCGCAACCCCUACCGUCUGUUGCCAGCAUUCAGUUGGGGACUCAGGCGGAACUGCCGGUGACAAACCGGAGGAAGGUGGGGACGACGUCAGGUCAUCAUGGCCCUUAUAUCCUGGGCUACACACGUGCUACAAUGGCCGGUACAGAGCGAAGCAACACCGCGAGGUAGAGCAAAUCGCAGA
RNAcentral lists this ribosomal RNA (1150 nucleotides) under uncultured organism. RNAcentral describes it as "bacterial SSU rRNA". It matches the Rfam family "Bacterial small subunit ribosomal RNA", at positions 135 to 1278 of the family's 1533-position model. The record is from RNAcentral.